RNAcentral lists this non-coding RNA (29 nucleotides) under Cricetulus griseus (Chinese hamster). The record is from RNAcentral. Lineage: Eukaryota; Metazoa; Chordata; Mammalia; Rodentia; Cricetidae.
UGGCUGCCAAAUUUAUACCUGUUUCUUCA